GUGGGGAAUAUUGGGCAAUGGGCGAAAGCCUGACCCAGCAACGCCGCGUGAAGGAAGAAGGUUUUCGGAUCGUAAACUUCUAUCCUUGGUGAAGAUAAUGACGGUAGCCAAGAAGGAAGCCCCGGCUAACUACGUGCCAGCAGCCGCGGUAAUACGUAGGGGGCAAGCGUUGUCCGGAAUGAUUGGGCGUAAAGGGCGCGUAGGCGGCCCGGUAAGUCUGAAGUGAAAGUCCUGCUUUUAAGGUGGGAAUUGCUUUGGAUACUGUCGGGCUUGAGUGCAGGAGAGGUAAGCGGAAUUCCCGGUGUAGCGGUGAAAUGCGUAGAGAUCGGGAGGAACACCAGUGGCGAAGGCGGUUCUCUGGACCUUUCCUGACGCUGAGAAGCGAAAGCGUGGGGAGCAAACAGGCUUAGAAACCCGUGUAGUCC
RNAcentral lists this ribosomal RNA (425 nucleotides) under uncultured bacterium. RNAcentral's name for it is "partial 16S ribosomal RNA". It matches the Rfam family "Bacterial small subunit ribosomal RNA", at positions 354 to 796 of the family's 1533-position model. The record is from RNAcentral.